AGAGUUUGAUCAUGGCUCAGGAUGAACACUGGCGGCGUGCUUAACACAUGCAAGUCGAACGGGGCAGGGAAGAAGGGCGAGGCGCUUGCGUCUCAAACGGGAACCCAGCCUAGUGGCGGACGGGUGAGUAACGCGUGGGUAACCUGCCGUAUACAGGGGGAUAACACUUAGAAAUAGGUGCUAAAACCGCAUAAGCGUCCAGGGCCGCAUGGCUCAGGGCGAAAAACUCCGGUGGUAUACGAUGGGCCCGCGUCUGAUUAGCUGGUUGGCGGGGUAAAGGCCCACCAAGGCGACGAUCAGUAGCCGGCCUGAGAGGGUGGACGGCCACAUUGGGACUGAGACACGGCCCAAACUCCUACGGGAGGCAGCAGUGGGGGAUAUUGCACAAUGGGGGAAACCCUGAUGCAGCGACGCCGCGUGAGUGAAGAAGUAUUUCGGUAUGUAAAGCUCUAUCAGCAGGGAAGAAAAUGACGGUACCUGACUAAGAAGCCCCGGCUAACUACGUGCCAGCAGCCGCGGUAAUACGUAGGGGGCAAGCGUUAUCCGGAUUUACUGGGUGUAAAGGGAGCGUAGACGGCCAUGCAAGUCUGAAGUGAAAUGCCGGGGCUUAACCCCGGAACUGCUUUGGAAACUGUAGGGCUGGAGUGCAGGAGAGGUAAGUGGAAUUCCUAGUGUAGCGGUGAAAUGCGUAGAUAUUAGGAGGAACACCAGUGGCGAAGGCGGCUUACUGGACUGUAACUGACGUUGAGGCUCGAAAGCGUGGGGAGCAAACGGGAUUAGAUACCCUGGUAGUCCACGCU
Molecule: ribosomal RNA, 800 nt
Filed under: uncultured bacterium
Lineage: Bacteria
Description: bacterial SSU rRNA
Rfam family: Bacterial small subunit ribosomal RNA
Source: RNAcentral